This 914-nucleotide ribosomal RNA is filed under the name uncultured bacterium. RNAcentral's name for it is "bacterial SSU rRNA". It matches the Rfam family "Bacterial small subunit ribosomal RNA", at positions 8 to 916 of the family's 1533-position model. The record is from RNAcentral.
AGAGUUUGAUCCUGGCUCAGGACGAACGCUGGCGGUAUGCUUAAGACAUGCAAGUCGCACGGACCCGCAAGGGUCAGUGGCGGACGGGUGAGUAACACGUGGAUAACCUACCUCGCUAAUCGGGACAACGGACCGAAAGGUCCGCUAAUACCGGAUAAGCUCACGGCGCUGCAUGGCGCUGGGAGAAAAGGUCCUGCAAGGGGCCGCAGCGAGAGGGGUCCGCGGUCCAUUAGCUAGUUGGGGGGGUAACGGCCCACCAAGGCGACGAUGGAUAGCCGGCCUGAGAGGGCGACCGGCCACACUGGGACUGAGACACGGCCCAGACUCCUACGGGAGGCAGCAGUCGGGAAUUUUGGGCAAUGGCCGCAAGGGCUGACCCAGCAAUACCGCGUGAGUGAAGAAGGCCUUCGGGUUGUAAAGCUCUGUUGCCCGUGAAGAACGGUACUGUGAGGAAAUGCGCAGUACUUGACGGUAGCGGGAGAGGAAGCUCCGGCUAACUACGUGCCAGCAGCCGCGGUAAUACGUAGGGAGCGAGCGUUGUCCGGAUUUAUUGGGCGUAAAGGGCGUGUAGGCGGCUUGUUAAGUCUGAGGUGAAAAUCCAGGGCUCAACCCUGGAACUGCCUCGGAUACUGGCGAGCUUGAGUGCUCUAGAGGGCAGUGGAAUUCCGGGUGUAGCAGUGAAAUGCGUAGAGAUCCGGAGGAACACCAGUGGCGAAGGCGACUGCCUGGGGAGUAACUGACGCUGAGGCGCGAAAGCUGGGGGAGCAAACGGGAUUAGAUACCCCGGUAGUCCCAGCCGUAAACGAUGAGUGCUAGGUGUAGGGGGUAUCGACCCCCCCUGUGCCGCAGUUAACGCAAUAAGCACUCCGCCUGGGGAGUACGGCCGCAAGGUUGAAACUCAAAUGAAUUGACGG